AGAGUUUGAUCCUGGCUCAGAUUGAACGCUGGCGGCAUGCCUUACACAUGCAAGUCGAACGGCAGCGCGGGGCAACCUGGCGGCGAGUGGCGAACGGGUGAGUAAUAUAUCGGAACGUACCCUGGAGUGGGGGAUAACGUAGCGAAAGUUACGCUAAUACCGCAUACGAUCUACGGAUGAAAGUGGGGGAUCGCAAGACCUCAUGCUCGUGGAGCGGCCGAUAUCUGAUUAGCUAGUUGGUAGGGUAAAAGCCUACCAAGGCAUCGAUCAGUAGCUGGUCUGAGAGGACGACCAGCCACACUGGAACUGAGACACGGUCCAGACUCCUACGGGAGGCAGCAGUGGGGAAUUUUGGACAAUGGGCGCAAGCCUGAUCCAGCAAUGCCGCGUGAGUGAAGAAGGCCUUCGGGUUGUAAAGCUCUUUUGUCAGGGAAGAAACGGCAGUUUCUAAUACAGAUUGCUAAUGACGGUACCUGAAGAAUAAGCACCGGCUAACUACGUGCCAGCAGCCGCGGUAAUACGUAGGGUGCAAGCGUUAAUCGGAAUUACUGGGCGUAAAGCGUGCGCAGGCGGUUUUGUAAGUCUGAUGUGAAAUCCCCGGGCUCAACCUGGGAAUUGCAUUGGAGACUGCAAGGCUAGAAUCUGGCAGAGGGGGGUAGAAUUCCACGUGUAGCAGUGAAAUGCGUAGAUAUGUGGAGGAACACCGAUGGCGAAGGCAGCCCCCUGGGCUAAGAUUGACGCUCAUGCACGAAAGCGUGGGGAGCAAACAGGAUUAGAUACCCUGGUAGUCCACGCCCUAAACGAUGUCUACUAGUUGUCGGGUCUUAAUUGACUUGGUAACGCAGCUAACGCGUGAAGUAGACCGCCUGGGGAGUACGGUCGCAAGAUUAAAACUCAAAUGAAUUGACGG
RNAcentral lists this ribosomal RNA (910 nucleotides) under uncultured bacterium. RNAcentral's name for it is "bacterial SSU rRNA". It matches the Rfam family "Bacterial small subunit ribosomal RNA", at positions 8 to 916 of the family's 1533-position model. The record is from RNAcentral.